This 484-nucleotide ribosomal RNA is filed under the name uncultured bacterium. RNAcentral's name for it is "partial 16S ribosomal RNA". It matches the Rfam family "Bacterial small subunit ribosomal RNA", at positions 30 to 507 of the family's 1533-position model. The record is from RNAcentral.
AUUGAACGCUGGCGGCAGGCCUAACACAUGCAAGUCGAGCGGAUGAAGGGAGCUUGCUCCUGGAUUCAGCGGCGGACGGGUGAGUAAUGCCUAGGAAUCUGCCUGGUAGUGGGGGAUAACGUCCGGAAACGGGCGCUAAUACCGCAUACGUCCUGAGGGAGAAAGUGGGGGAUCUUCGGACCUCACGCUAUCAGAUGAGCCUAGGUCGGAUUAGCUAGUUGGUGGGUUAAAGGCCUACCAAGGCGACGAUCCGUAACUGGUCUGAGAGGAUGAUCAGUCACACUGGAACUGAGACACGGUCCAGACUCCUACGGGAGGCAGCAGUGGGGAAUAUUGGACAAUGGGCGAAAGCCUGAUCCAGCCAUGCCGCGUGUGUGAAGAAGGUCCUCGGAUUGUAAAGCACUUUAAGUUGGGAGGAAGGGCAGUAAGUUAAUACCUUGCUGUUUUGACGUUACCAACAGAAUAAGCACCGGCUAACUUCGUG